This 253-nucleotide ribosomal RNA is filed under the name uncultured bacterium. RNAcentral's name for it is "partial 16S ribosomal RNA". It matches the Rfam family "Bacterial small subunit ribosomal RNA", at positions 524 to 776 of the family's 1533-position model. The record is from RNAcentral.
UACGUAGGGGGCAAGCGUUAUCCGGAUUUACUGGGUGUAAAGGGAGCGUAGACGGCUUUGCAAGUCUGACGUGAAAAUCCGGGGCUCAACCCCGGAACUGCGUUGGAUACUGUGAGGCUUGAGUGCCGGAGAGGUAAGCGGAAUUCCUAGUGUAGCGGUGAAAUGCGUAGAUAUUAGGAGGAACACCAGUGGCGAAGGCGGCUUACUGGACGGCAACUGACGUUGAGGCUCGAAAGCGUGGGGAGCAAACAGG